UCCACUUGAUUGAGCACUGUUUGCUCUGAGCCUGGGGCGGCAGGGUUGAGGCGGCGGGGCUCUAGUUGCCUGAAAAAGCCCGAGCCUGGCCUCUCGCUCCCCCAGAAAGCACUGCAGAGCUGCGGCCUGAUCAAUGCUGGGCGCUGAUACCCACAGGAGCCGGGCUCGCGAUUCCCGGCAGGCGGCCGCUGCGCCCCUGCGGAGAGGAGGCUCCGGCUGCUCGACUGCGACCCCUGGCGGCCGUCGGAGAAACUCCCCGCAGAGCUGCACAAGCGAAUGGGCCGCUGGACAGGAAGCGAAGGGAGGAUUUUAAUGGAAACUGGGGAAGAGUACAUGAGAGGCCGGAACUAAGCAGAUCCUGACCCAGAGCUCCAAGUUCCCAACAACGCUAAGAAUCUAUGACUGGGGAGAAGGGACACAACCUCUUGCAGGGAACCACCUGCAAUCCAAAUGUGAUAGCUGGAUCUCCAUCAGCCAUCUUGGACCAUAAGUCGACCUUGAGGAUGGAAACCACAUCCUAGGAUAUGGUAAAGCAGAAUGACAGAAAGAGCUCAGCCUAUAUCCAUACUUAUGUGGGAGAAUAAACUAGUGUAUGUUGAAGCCAUUAUUUGUCUGGGCUGCUUACCACCAGUGCAAUUUUUAACUGAUACAGCAACCAGCAAUCAAUACUACACCCCAGGAGUUAAAUUACAUUGGAUGAAGAAACUGAAGUCAGGAUGAUGACGUGACUUUUCCGAGACUGUGUCGUUAAUGGCCAAAUAACACACCUGACCCUUCAUGGAGCCGAAAACAAAAAUUAAGCUUCCUAGAAUCCUAGUAAAUAAGGUGGUCCAUGUUCAAGUCCAGCUUUCCCAGGAAUGUAAGCACCAAAACUGAGACUUCUCACCCAGCAACUCCAGAGCGGGGUCUCCCUGGGGUCACCAGGG
RNAcentral lists this long non-coding RNA (926 nucleotides) under Equus caballus (horse). RNAcentral's name for it is "lncRNA (ENSECAG00000053045.1)". Lineage: Eukaryota; Metazoa; Chordata; Mammalia; Perissodactyla; Equidae. The record is from RNAcentral.